The sequence is a transfer RNA, 71 nucleotides long. It matches the Rfam family "tRNA". From Rfam's summary of the family: Transfer RNA (tRNA) molecules are approximately 80 nucleotides in length. Their secondary structure includes four short double-helical elements and three loops (D, anti-codon, and T loops). The record is from Rfam.
GCGCAUGUGGUUUAGCGGUAAAAUUCAUGUUUCCCAUACUUGAGCCCCCGGUUCGACUCCGGGCUUGCGCA